This 509-nucleotide ribosomal RNA is filed under the name bacterium enrichment culture clone ALO1_GLFRUDD03F2ME5. RNAcentral describes it as "bacterial SSU rRNA". It matches the Rfam family "Bacterial small subunit ribosomal RNA", at positions 9 to 513 of the family's 1533-position model. RNAcentral also lists the same sequence under 3 other names. The record is from RNAcentral.
GAGUUUGAUCAUGGCUCAGAUUGAACGCUGGCGGCAGGCCUAACACAUGCAAGUCGAGCGGAUGACGGGAGCUUGCUCCUUGAUUCAGCGGCGGACGGGUGAGUAAUGCCUAGGAAUCUGCCUGGUAGUGGGGGACAACGUUUCGAAAGGAACGCUAAUACCGCAUACGUCCUACGGGAGAAAGCAGGGGACCUUCGGGCCUUGCGCUAUCAGAUGAGCCUAGGUCGGAUUAGCUAGUUGGUGGGGUAAUGGCUCACCAAGGCGACGAUCCGUAACUGGUCUGAGAGGAUGAUCAGUCACACUGGAACUGAGACACGGUCCAGACUCCUACGGGAGGCAGCAGUGGGGAAUAUUGGACAAUGGGCGAAAGCCUGAUCCAGCCAUGCCGCGUGUGUGAAGAAGGUCUUCGGAUUGUAAAGCACUUUAAGUUGGGAGGAAGGGCAGUAAGUUAAUACCUUGCUGUUUUGACGUUACCGACAGAAUAAGCACCGGCUAACUCUGUGCCAGCA